RNAcentral lists this unclassified non-coding RNA (237 nucleotides) under uncultured Oidiodendron. RNAcentral describes it as "sequence contains ITS2". The stretch from base 1 to 52 matches the Rfam family "5.8S ribosomal RNA", at positions 103 to 154 of the family's 154-position model. The record is from RNAcentral. Lineage: Eukaryota; Fungi; Ascomycota; Leotiomycetes; Myxotrichaceae.
AACGCACAUUGCGCCCUGUGGUAUUCCGCAGGGCAUGCCUGUUCGAGCGUCAUUUCAACCCUCAAGCUCCGCUUGGUGUUGGGCCCUGCCCGCUGCGGCCGGCCCUAAAGACAGUGGCGGUGCCGUCUGGCCCUGAGCGUAGUACAUCCCUCGCUCCAGUGCCCGGCGGUGGCCUGCCAGAACCCCCCGACUCUCGUGGUUGACCUCGGAUCAGGUAGGGAUACCCGCUGAACUUAA